This 209-nucleotide non-coding RNA is filed under the name Limosilactobacillus fermentum. Its description in RNAcentral is "Lactobacillus fermentum Intron_gpI". It matches the Rfam family "Group I catalytic intron". Rfam says of the family: Group I catalytic introns are large self-splicing ribozymes. They catalyse their own excision from mRNA, tRNA and rRNA precursors in a wide range of organisms. The record is from RNAcentral. Lineage: Bacteria; Bacillati; Bacillota; Bacilli; Lactobacillales; Lactobacillaceae.
UUUGUGGUAUAAUCUGAUUGUUGAUUGCCCUGUGGCGUAGCGAUACGUUACUUAGCACCGGGUGAAUUCAAGGAAAACCUAAGUCUUAGUUGAUAUGGCAACCCUGAGCCAAGCUUAAUUGAAGGUGCAACGCAUAGGAUUUAUAUCCCACGAGCGCCCGGCAACUCCCCGAGUUGAAGAGAUAUGCUGAACUGUAUGGAAACAUACAG